This 1423-nucleotide long non-coding RNA is filed under the name Homo sapiens (human). RNAcentral describes it as "non-protein coding lnc-CLDN24-2:6". Lineage: Eukaryota; Metazoa; Chordata; Mammalia; Primates; Hominidae. The record is from RNAcentral.
CCAGCCUGGGAAUCUGCUGUGGCCUCUGGGCCUCGCACAUGCUGUUCCUUACCCCUGUGUUGUCCGUUCCCUCCUCUCUGCGUGGCAUUAAAUUCUGAUGGCUCCCAUCAUGCUUUGCAUGGACAUGAAAAAUUACCAACUUUGGGAAGCCUCCCUGGUGGUGCCGCACAGGCUACGUGUCCUAGCCAAGUGCUCAGUAUCUUCUCCCACUCCCUCCUCCCUCACCUCACGCUUGUCACACGGUAUUGCAGUUGCCUCUUUCCUCGUCUGCCUUCUUGAACGUUCUGUGAGUUACUUGACAGAGAGGACCCCUCUUCUCCAUCCCUGAUCCCCUGUGUGUGAUGUGCUUAUUACAGGAAUUCAACACAAGGAUACGUAAUGCAGGAAGAAUAGAUGGAUGGACAGAUGGAUGGAUGGACGGAUGGAUGGAUGGGUGGACAGAUGAGCAGAUGGAUGGAUGGAUGGAUGGACGGACGGAUGGAUGAGCAGAUGGAUGGAUGGGAGGACAGAUGGAUAGAUGAAUAGGUGGAUGGAUGGAUGGAUGAUGGAUGGAUGAAAAGAUUCAGAUACAGGUGCAAAGUAUUUCACAUAUACAAUCUCUUUAUUCAGUGUUUCUCCUCUUAGAAAUUAUAUUUUUCUUCCAGCGAAGGUUGGUGGGAAUCUUUGUGCUGAUAAUACCCACAGCUCUUCUCCCAUAGCAGGAUUUGAGGGAAACUUGGCAAGAAACACUGCCUCUGAAUCCAGCCUCCCUGCCGCAGCCCCAGGUCGAGCAGGUGGACCGGAACCACGGUCACUGACCAGGGUAUCUGAUCCUCUCAGUCUGAAGGAAAGUGAGAACUCAGCACAAACGCCAUGGACGGUACAGUGUGGGAGGGAGCAGCCUAGAGAGAGAAGCACGAAGCACUCGCUCAUGUCGGAGGAGGAGGAAGAGCGAUCCAUGGGCAGGGGAAUUUGAGAGAGAGACCUCCUUCAGACCCGGUUAGCGCACUGUUUUCAAAAAACCUGAAUGGAACAACCUGUUGAGAGAGCAAAGAGCGCUUGUGUUUGUGGCACACGGGAGCCUGGCGGCCGCAGGUGCAUGUCAACAGGAGACCCACGGCAGGCCUCCCCUCCACGGCCCCUCCCACACCCCAGACUUAGACAUGCUGGUACUGGACAUCCUGAGCUGCUUCAAGUUGGAACGUCACAUCCUCCAGAGUUCCAGGCGGCACUAAAGUCUCUGGGACAUGGUCAGCUGUUUAGAUGGGUUCCCAGGAAGGCUCACUGUUCUGGAAAGGUCUGUAAGCCUGUGACCUGAGCUCCUUGAGGUUCAGGGGGCAGGUCUGACUGAAGCAGAGUUUUCCCUUCCCCGGCUCAGGAGGGAUUUCCCACUUCUCCCUGGCCUUCACCACCCCGACUGCCUCCUGGAAGAGAGCUCAAGCUU